GAUAAACGCUGGCGGCGUGCCUAAUACAUGCAAGUCGAGCGAACAGACGAGGAGCUUGCUCCUCUGACGUUAGCGGCGGACGGGUGAGUAACACGUGGAUAACCUACCUAUAAGACUGGGAUAACUUCGGGAAACCGGAGCUAAUACCGGAUAAUAUAUUGAACCGCAUGGUUCAAUAGUGAAAGACGGUUUUGCUGUCACUUAUAGAUGGAUCCGCGCCGCAUUAGCUAGUUGGUAAGGUAACGGCUUACCAAGGCAACGAUGCGUAGCCGACCUGAGAGGGUGAUCGGCCACACUGGAACUGAGACACGGUCCAGACUCCUACGGGAGGCAGCAGUAGGGAAUCUUCCGCAAUGGGCGAAAGCCUGACGGAGCAACGCCGCGUGAGUGAUGAAGGUCUUCGGAUCGUAAAACUCUGUUAUUAGGGAAGAACAAAUGUGUAAGUAACUAUGCACGUCUUGACGGUACCUAAUCAGAAAGCCACGGCGAACUACGU
Molecule: ribosomal RNA, 496 nt
Filed under: uncultured bacterium
Lineage: Bacteria
Description: partial 16S ribosomal RNA
Rfam family: Bacterial small subunit ribosomal RNA
Source: RNAcentral